UACGAGGGGGGCGAGCGUUGUUCGGAAUUAUUGGGCGUAAAGGGUGCGUAGGCGGUUUUGUAAGUCUUAUGUGAAAUCUAUGGGCUCAACUCAUAGACUGCAUGAGAAACUGCAGGGCUUGAGUAUGGGAGAGGUGAGUGGAAUUCCUGGUGUAGCGGUGAAAUGCGUAGAUAUCAGGAGGAACACCGGUGGCGAAGGCGACAUCCUGGACCGGUAUUGACGCUGAGGCGCGAAAGCCAGGGGAGCAAACGGG
This 253-nucleotide ribosomal RNA is filed under the name uncultured bacterium. RNAcentral describes it as "partial 16S ribosomal RNA". It matches the Rfam family "Bacterial small subunit ribosomal RNA", at positions 524 to 776 of the family's 1533-position model. The record is from RNAcentral.